UAUUCAUGCAUGACCCAAUUGGUUUUCUCCCCUUUAGGUGCUCUCCCUCUGUAGAAAACAAGGGUCUUCUUCAUCCCAACAAGGCAAUUUUUCCCCUUGUAAAUCUCCCUAUCUUUUCCGGUGGCCUUCCAAUAGCCGGCCUCCGUGGCUCGGUUUGUUCUCAUACCAGUUGGGUACUUCCUAUCUCUCUGGCAAAAGAAGUACCAUUCCUUUUCUCCCAUCUUUGCUUUCUUGGGCAAAUCCCAUGGUUCGCACUUAUUGAGAUCAACUUCACCAAUAGCACAUGCACU
Molecule: unclassified non-coding RNA, 290 nt
Filed under: Hevea brasiliensis (rubber tree)
Lineage: Eukaryota; Viridiplantae; Streptophyta; Magnoliopsida; Malpighiales; Euphorbiaceae
Source: RNAcentral